GAUGAACGCUAGCGGCAGGCUUAAUACAUGCAAGUCGAGGGAAAAGUAGUUUUCGGACUAUGAAGACCGGCGCACGGGUGCGUAACGCGUACACAACAUACCUAAUACUGGAGCAUAGCCUCGGGAAACUGGGAGUAAUUCUCCAUAGCAUUUUAGAGUGGCAUCACUUUGAAAUUAAAGCUCAGGCGGUAUUGGAUUGGUGUGCGUAUGAUUAGUUUGUUGGUAGGGUAAUGGCCUACCAAGACUACGAUCAUUAGCUGGCGUGAGAGCGCGACCAGCCACACUGGAACUGAGACACGGUCCAGACUCCUACGGGAGGCAGCAGUAGGGAAUAUUGGACAAUGGGCGAAAGCCUGAUCCAGCCAUGCCGCGUGGUAGAUGAAGGCCCUCUGGGUUGUAAAUACCUUUUAUCUGGGAAGAAUAUCUCGUUCUCGAGAAACUGACGGUACCAGAUGAAUAAGCACCGGCUAACUCCGUGCCAGC
RNAcentral lists this ribosomal RNA (483 nucleotides) under uncultured bacterium. Its description in RNAcentral is "bacterial SSU rRNA". It matches the Rfam family "Bacterial small subunit ribosomal RNA", at positions 28 to 512 of the family's 1533-position model. The record is from RNAcentral.